This 2892-nucleotide ribosomal RNA is filed under the name Escherichia coli. RNAcentral describes it as "bacterial LSU rRNA". It matches the Rfam family "Bacterial large subunit ribosomal RNA". Lineage: Bacteria; Pseudomonadati; Pseudomonadota; Gammaproteobacteria; Enterobacterales; Enterobacteriaceae. The record is from RNAcentral.
ACUAAGCGUACACGGUGGAUGCCCUGGCAGUCAGAGGCGAUGAAGGACGUGCUAAUCUGCGAUAAGCGUCGGUAAGGUGAUAUGAACCGUUAUAACCGGCGAUUUCCGAAUGGGGAAACCCAGUGUGUUUCGACACACUAUCAUUAACUGAAUCCAUAGGUUAAUGAGGCGAACCGGGGGAACUGAAACAUCUAAGUACCCCGAGGAAAAGAAAUCAACCGAGAUUCCCCCAGUAGCGGCGAGCGAACGGGGAGGAGCCCAGAGCCUGAAUCAGUGUGUGUGUUAGUGGAAGCGUCUGGAAAGGCGCGCGAUACAGGGUGACAGCCCCGUACACAAAAAUGCACAUACUGUGAGCUCGAUGAGUAGGGCGGGACACGUGGUAUCCUGUCUGAAUAUGGGGGGACCAUCCUCCAAGGCUAAAUACUCCUGACUGACCGAUAGUGAACCAGUACCGUGAGGGAAAGGCGAAAAGAACCCCGGCGAGGGGAGUGAAAAAGAACCUGAAACCGUGUACGUACAAGCAGUGGGAGCCUCUUUUAUGGGGUGACUGCGUACCUUUUGUAUAAUGGGUCAGCGACUUAUAUUCUGUAGCAAGGUUAACCGAAUAGGGGAGCCGAAGGGAAACCGAGUCUUAACUGGGCGUUAAGUUGCAGGGUAUAGACCCGAAACCCGGUGAUCUAGCCAUGGGCAGGUUGAAGGUUGGGUAACACUAACUGGAGGACCGAACCGACUAAUGUUGAAAAAUUAGCGGAUGACUUGUGGCUGGGGGUGAAAGGCCAAUCAAACCGGGAGAUAGCUGGUUCUCCCCGAAAGCUAUUUAGGUAGCGCCUCGUGAAUUCAUCUCCGGGGGUAGAGCACUGUUUCGGCAAGGGGGUCAUCCCGACUUACCAACCCGAUGCAAACUGCGAAUACCGGAGAAUGUUAUCACGGGAGACACACGGCGGGUGCUAACGUCCGUCGUGAAGAGGGAAACAACCCAGACCGCCAGCUAAGGUCCCAAAGUCAUGGUUAAGUGGGAAACGAUGUGGGAAGGCCCAGACAGCCAGGAUGUUGGCUUAGAAGCAGCCAUCAUUUAAAGAAAGCGUAAUAGCUCACUGGUCGAGUCGGCCUGCGCGGAAGAUGUAACGGGGCUAAACCAUGCACCGAAGCUGCGGCAGCGACACUGUGUGUUGUUGGGUAGGGGAGCGUUCUGUAAGCCUGUGAAGGUGUACUGUGAGGUAUGCUGGAGGUAUCAGAAGUGCGAAUGCUGACAUAAGUAACGAUAAAGCGGGUGAAAAGCCCGCUCGCCGGAAGACCAAGGGUUCCUGUCCAACGUUAAUCGGGGCAGGGUGAGUCGACCCCUAAGGCGAGGCCGAAAGGCGUAGUCGAUGGGAAACAGGUUAAUAUUCCUGUACUUGGUGUUACUGCGAAGGGGGGACGGAGAAGGCUAUGUUGGCCGGGCGACGGUUGUCCCGGUUUAAGCGUGUAGGCUGGUUUUCCAGGCAAAUCCGGAAAAUCAAGGCUGAGGCGUGAUGACGAGGCACUACGGUGCUGAAGCAACAAAUGCCCUGCUUCCAGGAAAAGCCUCUAAGCAUCAGGUAACAUCAAAUCGUACCCCAAACCGACACAGGUGGUCAGGUAGAGAAUACCAAGGCGCUUGAGAGAACUCGGGUGAAGGAACUAGGCAAAAUGGUGCCGUAACUUCGGGAGAAGGCACGCUGAUAUGUAGGUGAAGUCCCUCGCGGAUGGAGCUGAAAUCAGUCGAAGAUACCAGCUGGCUGCAACUGUUUAUUAAAAACACAGCACUGUGCAAACACGAAAGUGGACGUAUACGGUGUGACGCCUGCCCGGUGCCGGAAGGUUAAUUGAUGGGGUCAGCGCAAGCGAAGCUCUUGAUCGAAGCCCCGGUAAACGGCGGCCGUAACUAUAACGGUCCUAAGGUAGCGAAAUUCCUUGUCGGGUAAGUUCCGACCUGCACGAAUGGCGUAAUGAUGGCCAGGCUGUCUCCACCCGAGACUCAGUGAAAUUGAACUCGCUGUGAAGAUGCAGUGUACCCGCGGCAAGACGGAAAGACCCCGUGAACCUUUACUAUAGCUUGACACUGAACAUUGAGCCUUGAUGUGUAGGAUAGGUGGGAGGCUUAGAAGUGUGGACGCCAGUCUGCAUGGAGCCGACCUUGAAAUACCACCCUUUAAUGUUUGAUGUUCUAACGUUGACCCGUGAUCCGGGUUGCGGACAGUGUCUGGUGGGUAGUUUGACUGGGGCGGUCUCCUCCUAAAGAGUAACGGAGGAGCACGAAGGUUGGCUAAUCCUGGUCGGACAUCAGGAGGUUAGUGCAAUGGCAUAAGCCAGCUUGACUGCGAGCGUGACGGCGCGAGCAGGUGCGAAAGCAGGUCAUAGUGAUCCGGUGGUUCUGAAUGGAAGGGCCAUCGCUCAACGGAUAAAAGGUACUCCGGGGAUAACAGGCUGAUACCGCCCAAGAGUUCAUAUCGACGGCGGUGUUUGGCACCUCGAUGUCGGCUCAUCACAUCCUGGGGCUGAAGUAGGUCCCAAGGGUAUGGCUGUUCGCCAUUUAAAGUGGUACGCGAGCUGGGUUUAGAACGUCGUGAGACAGUUCGGUCCCUAUCUGCCGUGGGCGCUGGAGAACUGAGGGGGGCUGCUCCUAGUACGAGAGGACCGGAGUGGACGCAUCACUGGUGUUCGGGUUGUCAUGCCAAUGGCACUGCCCGGUAGCUAAAUGCGGAAGAGAUAAGUGCUGAAAGCAUCUAAGCACGAAACUUGCCCCGAGAUGAGUUCUCCCUGACCCUUUAAGGGUCCUGAAGGAACGUUGAAGACGACGACGUUGAUAGGCCGGGUGUGUAAGCGCAGCGAUGCGUUGAGCUAACCGGUACUAAUGAACCGUGAGGCUUAACC